Molecule: ribosomal RNA, 485 nt
Filed under: uncultured bacterium
Lineage: Bacteria
Description: bacterial SSU rRNA
Rfam family: Bacterial small subunit ribosomal RNA
Source: RNAcentral
GACGACGCUGGCGGCGUGGAUUAGGCAUGCAAGUCGAACGGUAUCAUCCUUUCGGGGGUGAGAGAGUGGCGAACUGGUGAGUAACACGUAGGUUAUCUACCCUCAAGACGGGGACAACCCAGGGAAACUUGGGCUAAUACCGGAUGUGAGCAACUUUUAGUGUUUGAAAGGUGGCGUAAGCUGUCGCUUGGGGAUGAGCCUGCGUCCUAUUAGUUAGUUGGUGAGGUAACGGCUCACCUAGGCAAUGAUAGGUAGGCGGCCUUAACGGGUGGUCGCCCACACUGGGAUUGAGAUACGGCCCAGACUCCUACGGGAGGCAGCAGUCGAGAAUAGUCUACAAUGGUCGGAAGACUGAUAGUGCGACGCCGCGUGAACGAUGAAUCCCUUCGGGGUGUAAAGUUCUUUUAUAUGUGAGCAGUGCUUCUUAUAUUAACAGUAUGGGGAGAGAGAUAUUAGCAUAUGAAUAAGCAACGGCUAACUCCGUG